CCAUUUUUAAGGCAGGGGAUUUUUUCAAGGGAAUAAACUAGGAAGCCAUCCUAGGCCUACCUCAGCUUGUCGCAUGGCAGAUUUAGGCGAGUCUUGAAGCAUUUCAUAGACUGUUCCUCAAGAUUUGGAAUAGAUAAAGGUGCAAUUAAUGGCCAUGAAAUUUAACAUUUUGGGUUUGGCUGCAUGGUGUGACCUGAUUAUUGAUC
RNAcentral lists this long non-coding RNA (206 nucleotides) under Elaeis guineensis (African oil palm). Its description in RNAcentral is "long non-coding RNA (EGUI_LNC032118)". The record is from RNAcentral. Lineage: Eukaryota; Viridiplantae; Streptophyta; Magnoliopsida; Arecales; Arecaceae.